Molecule: long non-coding RNA, 1154 nt
Organism: Helianthus annuus (common sunflower)
Lineage: Eukaryota; Viridiplantae; Streptophyta; Magnoliopsida; Asterales; Asteraceae
Exons: 3
Source: RefSeq, a predicted model, not a curated record
UUUUUUUUUAGCCGCAUACGUUUCCUGCUUUCCCCAAAUCCUCUAAUUCUUGCACCUUAUCCAAACCCACACUUAUAUACAAAAAUCUUAUCCUUCCUUCCCUCAAAUGAACAUACAGACAACACACAACCUUCAUUAUCUAAAGUCUGAGCAUUUUGAUGAAACCCUACCCUUUUAAACCACCCGACACCUCCCUUUCUCUUGGUUAAACGACCAUGCUGCGGAGAAAUCGAAGAACUCGAGGAGAGAGAGAACCCAGCGAGGGAGAGAGAGAACGCAGGAGUACCAUUUCCAGCGACGGACCGCUGAUGGCGGUGGAGACGUCCGGUGGCGGCGGUGACCACCGGAACUCCGAUCCGACGAAGAUCACAACCGGCCGAAGUUGUCAGAGCCGGUGGAACACCGGCGACGACAGGCGGCGCUGACGCCGCUCACGGCGGUGGCGGUGGAAUUUCGCGAAGAUUGUUCGGUUUUUGUCCACAUCGAUGAAGAUGGUGAUGAUUUUUUUUCUGGUAGUAGUGUGGGUGUAUGAUGUAAUGGUGAUGGAAGAUGUCAACCGUGAUGGGUGGGGUGGCUAACGGAGGCGCACGACAGCAGUGGUGGUUAUCAUCUUUUAGUUCGGGUUCGAGUGAAGAGGUUACGGAUUCGGGUUAUGUUUGGUUAGAUCCAGCUGAGUUUUGUUUUCUUUUGUGUGAGAAUUUGGUUCCGAGUUGGAUUGUUUCGGGCUCGGUCAACAGCCGUCAACGAGGAGUUCGGGUCAAACAAAGUCAAACCAGUCAACACGUCAGGUUGACUGGUCAAUGCUGGUCAACGGGAGUCAAGGGCAGAAUUCGGUUUGGGUUUCGCGACUCAGUCGGGUUCGACUCAACUCAACUGCGUUUCGGGUCAAACCCGGUUGGCUCGGUCAACACCCGAGUCAACUCGGGUCGACAACAGGUCAAGGUAGUCAACAACAGUCAACUCCUGGUCAACACGAGAGGCCCGGUAAAGUUGUUAGCGUAGCGAGUUAGUUACGUUAGAUUUUAGUUAGUUAUACGCGACCGAGCUCGACCCGAAUGGAUUAGCGAUUGGUUACAUUUUAUUUUAUAGUAUUUCAUAAAAUUUUAGUAUAUUUUGUUUGAAGUGAUUGAAUUUUGAAAUUAUACGACGCAUUC